CCUACGGGAGGCAGCAGUGGGGAAUAUUGGACAAUGGGGGGAACCCUGAUCCAGCGACGCCGCGUGAGUGAAGAAGUAUUUCGGUAUGUAAAGCUCUAUCAGCAGGGAAGAAAGAAAUGACGGUACCUGACUAAGAAGCCCCGGCUAACUACGUGCCAGCAGCCGCGGUAAUACGUAGGGGGCAAGCGUUAUCCGGAUUUACUGGGUGUAAAGGGAGCGUAGACGGCGAUGCAAGUCUGAAGUGAAAGGCGGGGGCCCAACCCCCGGACUGCUUUGGAAACUGUAUGGCUGGAGUGCGGGAGAGGUAAGUGGAAUUCCUAGUGUAGCGGUGAAAUGCGUAGAUAUUAGGAGGAACACCAGUGGCGAAGGCGGCUUACUGGACUGUAACUGACGUUGAGGCUCGAAAGCGUGGGGAGCAAACAGGAUUAGAUACCCUGGUAGUC
Molecule: ribosomal RNA, 443 nt
Filed under: uncultured bacterium
Lineage: Bacteria
Description: partial 16S ribosomal RNA
Rfam family: Bacterial small subunit ribosomal RNA
Source: RNAcentral